GCCCCGUGCCCCUGAGGGACAGGUGUUCUGUGUGGCGUGCUGACGGCAGCGUUCUGUGGAUAUGCACGCGGUCGUGUCUGCUCACAUCUGGGUCUCUACUGGCUCUGUCUCAUGGUUCCAGCGGUUACUGAGGGAGGACCGCGGAGAAGGCCUGUCCCCAUGUGGAUGUGACCUUACAUGGAACAGUUGUCUCUGUGGAUAUGAGUACAUUAGGCAUCCUGGGGGGGGGGGUGUUUCUGGAUCACCUGCUGGGCUCUAUACGGAGCUGCAGGGGUCUUCAGAGCGGAGAAGCAGUGGGAUAUUUGACACCAAAGGAAGAAUUUGCCUGUGGGGGGUUUGAAGGUGCUUUGCUUCUGCCUCUGAAGAAGGAGGAAGGGCCACGAAGGGAGGAAUGCCGCCCUAGAAGCAGAUUUGUGGAGUGCCUGUGUGUGCCCACAGGAACCCCCGCCGACCGGAGGCCUGCACCUGCCGCUUGGGGUCGGACACGUCAGGACGCGAUGGGGUAUUACAAAUGCUACUGUCUAUGGAGGAGACGCUACGAGGAAGACACAGAAAGUGGGGAGCACCUCCAGGUCUAUGUUGGAAGGGAAAGCCCACCCGAGAAGGUGACCUGUGAGCAGAGGGGGCAGCGACUGAGUGCAGCGGGGGCAGGGCGGGCGCAGUAAGCUAGCUGGGUCUGAGGCCCCCCCAUGAGGUGGGGGCAGAGCACGGACACAGCCUUGCGAGCUUGCGUUCCGCUUUCGUGCAUGAAGGACUAGAUUAGAGUCUUGUGUUCGUUUCUUCUUCUGGCCUUUGUUGGUGCUGGUCCGUGUUCUGUGUCCCACAUGGUUUCUGACGAGAAGUCGCCUCUCCCCGACUGUUCGGGUUCCAACGGGUCACGCGAGACCGUUUGUCAGCAGUUGUAUCUGGGGGCGCUUUUCCCUGUGCUGCUUCUGCUGGAGGGUUCUGGAGUUCUAGAAUCUACCAGGUCACGUCUCAUGCCAAAUACGGGAUUUUUUCCAUCCACGAUUUCUUUAAAUGUGUCCCCACGUCCCUCCGUCCCCUGCCUUGAAGCUGCAGUUGGUAGUGGGCCUGCGCUUCCCUCACAUGGAUUCCUCAUGUGCUGCUCGCGUCCCCCGGUCUUUCUCGUCUUUGGUUUUUAGGCCGGACAGUCUCUACAGAUCGGUUUUCGAGCUCACCGACCGCCUGCGUCUCCACGCUGCCGUGAAGACCGUCCAGGGGUUUUCAUCUGACGUGUGUGCGGUGAGUUCUGGGAUUUCUGUUUGUUUCCUUUCACAGCUGCUCCAUGUCCUCAGAGCCACCCUUGUCUUCGUUCCUCCGUGCCCUCGAACACGAGCCUUGGCCACAGGGCUUGGAUAUCUGGUGAGGUGACUCCAGCACGGGCGUUCUCAGCGUGGGCUUGUCCUCUGCGUAUUUGCUGGUGGGGUUGUAUCCAGGACACCGUGAGUGGCGUGAUUUAGAGUCUGGAUCCUAUCUCGUUCCUCUGGA
This is an RNA transcript of Ailuropoda melanoleuca (giant panda), 1488 nucleotides long. It is a transcript of the gene named spermatogenesis- and oogenesis-specific basic helix-loop-helix-containing protein 1-like, with no coding region annotated. The transcript has 2 exons. NCBI's taxonomy places the organism in Eukaryota, Metazoa, Chordata, Mammalia, Carnivora, Ursidae. The record is from RefSeq and is a predicted model, not a curated record.